Molecule: ribosomal RNA, 37 nt
Filed under: Lawsonia inermis (henna)
Lineage: Eukaryota; Viridiplantae; Streptophyta; Magnoliopsida; Myrtales; Lythraceae
Description: partial 18S ribosomal RNA
Source: RNAcentral
CAAUGAUUCCGUAGGUUGACCUGCGGAAGGAUCAUUG